GAUUCUCGUAAUUCCCACUCCAUGAUGGACUUGGUUUCUCAUAAAAAAAAAAGAGGCUCACCAGCUCAGCCCAAAGGCAAUGAGAUUUCAAGCUCAAAAAAUGGCUGAAAGGAACUUAAGGCCACGUGAUUAAAAGGUAUAAAGUAGCUUACGGGCCUGAGAAAGUGUUUGGCAUUAAAUUAGGCCUCGUGCAGGCCUAAAGAGAGUGUGCACUUGACCCAAACAGCCAUGGGAGGAUGAGGAUAGCACAUG
RNAcentral lists this long non-coding RNA (252 nucleotides) under Carica papaya (papaya). Its description in RNAcentral is "long non-coding RNA (CPAP_LNC011845)". The record is from RNAcentral. Lineage: Eukaryota; Viridiplantae; Streptophyta; Magnoliopsida; Brassicales; Caricaceae.